GAUGAACGCUGGCGGCGUGCCUAAUACAUGCAAGUCGAGCGAACGGACGAGAAGCUUGCUUCUCUGAUGUUAGCGGCGGACGGGUGAGUAACACGUGGAUAACCUACCUAUAAGACUGGGAUAACUUCGGGAAACCGUAGCUAAUACCGGAUAAUAUUUUGAACCGCAUGGUUCAAAAGUGAAAGACGGUCUUGCUGUCACUUAUAGAUUGAUCCGCGCUGCAUUAGCUAGUUGGUAAGGUAACGGCUUACCAAGGCAACGAGGCAUAGCCGACCUGAGCGGGAGGUCGGAUACACGGGAACUGAGACAGGGUCCAGACUCCUACGGGAGGAAGCAGUAGGGAAUCUUCCGCGAUGGGCGAGAGCCGGACGGAGCAACGCCGCGUGAGUGAUGAAGGUCUUCGGAUCGUAGAACUCUGUUAUUAGGGAAGAACAUAUGUGUAAGUAACUGUGAACAUCUUGACGGUACCUAAUCAGAAAGCCACGGCUAACUACGUG
RNAcentral lists this ribosomal RNA (497 nucleotides) under uncultured bacterium. RNAcentral describes it as "partial 16S ribosomal RNA". It matches the Rfam family "Bacterial small subunit ribosomal RNA", at positions 28 to 507 of the family's 1533-position model. The record is from RNAcentral.